RNAcentral lists this ribosomal RNA (271 nucleotides) under uncultured prokaryote. RNAcentral describes it as "partial 16S ribosomal RNA". It matches the Rfam family "Bacterial small subunit ribosomal RNA", at positions 524 to 794 of the family's 1533-position model. The record is from RNAcentral.
UACGGAGGAUCCGAGCGUUAUCCGGAUUUAUUGGGUUUAAAGUGUGCGCAGGCGGGAGAUUAAGUCGGCGGUGAAAUUUUGCAGCUCAACUGUAAAAGUGCCUUCGAAACUGGUUUCCUUGAGUGUGGAUGAAGUAGGCGGAAUUUGUGGUGUAGCGGUGAAAUGCAUAGAUAUCACGAGGAACUCCGAUUGCGCAGGCAGCUUACUAAACCAUAACUGACGCUCAGGCACGAAGGCGUGGGGAUCAAACAGGAUUAGAUACCCGGGUAGU